GUCUGAGAAGCGAUAGUCGCGCUAAGUUUCGGCCUUAGUCUAGAAAUGAUAUUUCCUUAGAUU
RNAcentral lists this transfer RNA (63 nucleotides) under Platevindex sp. CL-2014. RNAcentral's name for it is "tRNA-Arg". Lineage: Eukaryota; Metazoa; Mollusca; Gastropoda; Systellommatophora; Onchidiidae. The record is from RNAcentral.